UCUAUGGCAGUGCAGAAAUUUUCCCAGUCAUUACAAGAUUUCCAAUUUGAAUGUAUUGAUAAUGCUGAAACAGAUGAUGAAAUUAGUAUUAGUCAGUCACUAAAAGAAUUUGCAAGACUACUCAUUGCAGCAGAAGAAGAAAGGUGAAGACUGAUCCAAAAGGCUAAUGAUGUAUUAAUUGCACCACUUGAGAAAUUUCAAAAAGAACAGAUAGGUGCAGUAAAAGAUGGAAAGAAGUUUGACAAAGAGUGAAAAAUAUUACUCUAUCCUUGAAAAGCAUUUAAAUUUAUCUGCAAAGAAAAAGGAGUCUCAUUUGCAAGAGGCAGAUACACAAAUUGAUCAAGCACAUCAGAACUUCUAUGAAGCAUCAUUAGAAUGUCUUUAAAUGGCUCACGCGGUUCAAGAAAAAAAGUUUGAAUUUGUUGAACCGCUUUUGUCAUUUCUUCAGGGUUUAUUUACUUUUUUACCACGAGGGAUAUGAACUUGCCCAGGAAUUUGCACCGCAUAAGCAACAGCUGCAGUUCAACUUGCAGAAUACAAGGAAUAAUUUUGAAAGUACUCGACAAGAGGUAGAGGGGUUGAUGCAGAGGAUGAAAUCUGCCAACCAGGACUACAGACCACCCAGCCAGUGGACGAUGGAAGGCUAUCCGUAUGUCCAGGAGAAACGACCGCUUGGUUUUACAUGGAUUAAACAGCCUUGUUACUAGCUCACCGGAAAUGUUCAAAAACUUGUAUCCGACGAAAGACAGAUUCAAUUGACAACCACUUCUGCUUCGACAUACAAGUAGUUGAAAGGCAUGGGAUCAUCACAUUACAGGCCUUCUCAGACGCUAAUAGGAAACUCUGGCUUGAAGCCAUGGAUGGGAAGGAAAUGAUUUAUACUCUGCCUGACAUUAUAAGCAAGAAAGAAGAAAGGUAUUUGAAUGAAGCAGGGUUCAAUUUUGUGAGAAACUGCAUUCAAGCUGUGGAAACAAGCGGUAUCACCGUUUUAGGCCUCUACUGAAUAGGAGGAGUGAACUCCAAAGUUCAAAAACUUGUGAAUAUCAUAUUUUCUCCUAAAUCCCCUCCUGAUAUUGAUAUUGAACUGUGGGACAAUAAGACAAUGAGUGGGCUGAAAAACUACCUCAGGUGCUUUGCAGCACCACUGAUGACUUACAAGUUACACAAAGAUUUGUAUCAUUGCUGUUAAAUCUGAUGACCAAAACUACAGGGUGGAGGCUGUACAUGCAUUGGUGUGCAAAUUGCCAGAGAAAAACAGAGAGAUGCUGGACAUCUUAAUAAAACAUCUGGUCAAAGUAUCACUGCACAGCCAACAAAAUCUCAUGACUGUCUCAAAUCUUGGUGUCAUAUUUCUCCCAACUCUAAUGAGAGCACAAGAAUAAACUGUAGCUGCUAUGGUGAAUAUUAAAUUUCAGAAUAUUGUGUUAGAAAUUCUUACAGAGCACGAUGAAACGAUUUUUCAUACUGCUCCAGACCCAAGCAUUCCUCUUCCUCAGCCUCAGUCUCGAUCUGGAUCCCAAAGGACACGAGCAAUCUGCCUCUCUACAGGCUCUAGGAAGCCCAGAGGGACGUGUACUCCAUACCUGGCUGAACCUGACAGUGACUCCUAUAGCAGCAGCCCAGACAGCACCCCCAUGGGGAGCAUCAAGUCACUCUCUUCUCUUUCCUCGGAACAAAAUAGCACUACAAAGUCAGCUUCCUGCCAGCCCAGGGAGAAAUCUGGAGGGAUUCCUUGGAUUGCAACCCUUUCAUCUUCCCAUGGACAGAAAAGCCUUGGUCUCUGGACAACCAGUCCUGAAUCAAGUUCUAGAGAAAGCCAAAGCCAUGUACUCCUGUAAAGCAGAGCACAGCAUGAGUUUUCCUUCCCACAAGGAGCGAUAUUUUCCAGCGUGGACCCAUCAGUGGAACCAGGAUGGUUAAAGGCAACUUAUGAAGGCAAAACGGGACUAGUUCCAGAAAAUUAUGUUGUCUUCCUC
This 1976-nucleotide long non-coding RNA is filed under the name Homo sapiens (human). RNAcentral describes it as "non-protein coding lnc-RAB6D-17:1". Lineage: Eukaryota; Metazoa; Chordata; Mammalia; Primates; Hominidae. The record is from RNAcentral.